CGCAAAUUACCCACUCUCGGCACGGGGAGGUAGUGACGAAAAAUAACGAGGCGGUUCUCUCUGAGGCCCGCCAUCGGAAUGGGUACAAUUUAAAUCCUUUAACGAGGAUCUAUUGGAGGGCAAGUCUGGUGCCAGCAGCCGCGGUAAUUCCAGCUCCAAUAGCGUAUAUUAAAGUUGUUGCGGUUAAAAAGCUCGUAGUUGGAUCUGCGGCCGAGGAGAGCGGUCUUCCUCUGGUUGAACUGCUUUUCCUGGCCUAACUCUCUGGUUUUCCUUUGGUGCUCUUCACUGAGUGCCCUAGGUGGCCAGAACGUUUACUUUGAAAAAAUUAGAGUGCUCAAAGCAGGCUCUUGCCUGAAUAGUGGUGCAUGGAAUAAUGGAAUAGGACAUUGGUUCUGUUUUAUUGGUUCGGAGCUAAUGUAAUGAUUGAAGGGGACAGACGGGGGCAUUCGUAUUGCGACGUUAGAGGUGAAAUUCUUGGAUCGUCGCAAGACGGACUACUGCGAAAGCAUUUGCCAAGAAUGUUUUCAUCAAUCAAGAACGAAAGUCUGAGGUUCGAAGGCGAUCAGAUACCGCCCUAGUUCAGACCGUAAACGAUGCCAACUAGCGAUCCGAGGGCGUUAAUUUAUGACUCCUCGGGCAGCUUCCGGGAAACCAAAGUUCUUGGGUUCCGGGGGAAGUAUGGUUGCAAAGCUGAAACUUAAAGGAAUUGACGGAAGGGCACCACCAGGAGUGGAGCCUGCGGCUUAAUUUGACUA
This 755-nucleotide ribosomal RNA is filed under the name Prismatolaimus dolichurus. RNAcentral's name for it is "SSU rRNA". It matches the Rfam family "Eukaryotic small subunit ribosomal RNA", at positions 435 to 1201 of the family's 1831-position model. Lineage: Eukaryota; Metazoa; Nematoda; Enoplea; Triplonchida; Prismatolaimidae. The record is from RNAcentral.